Molecule: long non-coding RNA, 2379 nt
Filed under: Homo sapiens (human)
Lineage: Eukaryota; Metazoa; Chordata; Mammalia; Primates; Hominidae
Description: HSALNT0364032
Source: RNAcentral
CCAUAGGAGUUGUGCCUUUAGGAGUUUUAAGAAGUUAUUUAGGAGUUUUAAGAAGUUAUUUAAGAAGUGACCUCCAGGUCACAAAGAUAUUCUUCUAUGUUGUUUUCUAAUAACUCACAGAGAGGACAGGAGCAUGAGGCUCAGGUUCCUCCCAACAGAAGCCCCACGCUUUAGGAAUUGCAGAUGGACAUGGAGGAUAAAGAGUUUUGUUUUUUCUCCUUCAGAGGACCUCAUAAGCCAAGGGGAAGGCAACUAGGCAGAGAGGGCUUUAAUUAAAUUUUCUAUUUUUUAAUUUUUCUGAACUUCAGGGGUGCUCAUACUUCGCAUGAUGGAGGGAAUAGUUAAUGAGUGCAGGUUUCCCCCAGGAGGGCUGCCACCACAACGGCUUGAGAUGAGGCGGCCAGCAGCCCCCAUCUCUACUCCAGUCUGAUAAGCUGUGGUGUCAGGCACAGAGGCACCUGUGAAGUUGGAAGACAGUGGAAAGGAAGAAGGUGACAGCCUGUGCUGUCAUGAUAAUGUCAUGGUAUGGAGGGCCCUGGCCUCCGUCGUAGGGGGCCCAUGUGAAGGGUUGGCCUCCAUGGCCUGUGAGCAGGAGCCUGGCUCAGGGAACCUGGGGCCUCUAUUCUUGGCUGGGCUUUGCUUCCUGGGGCCAUCCCUUGAACACAUCACUCCUACAUGAUGAUGAAUUCUAGAAAAUUAAAGCAGGGCAGGGGGAGUUUGAAUGUCACCCUUUUUCUUACUGAUGAGGAAACAGACCCAGAAUGAGGAAGCAGCUUACGGAAAAUUGCAUGGUUUGUGGGCUGGAGACCCAGGGCCAGGGCUCCAGCUGCUUCACCUGGAAAAAUCCUGGACUUUGGAGACAGACAGUCCUGGGUUUGAACCUAGCUCUAAGAGCCAUUUAUUAAAUAAUUUCACAAAUAAAGGUGAUGUUUGCCACCAUGGUCAGUGCUUUAAGUGAAUCUACUCAGAGCUGUGAAAUCUUGGGGGAAUUUGACCCAGUCACAGUUGAGAGAAGGUUCUGGAAGGAUAUGGGCUAAGGUCUACAGAUGAAUAAAAGUUAAGCUGGUAGAGAGGGAAGAGCUUGUAGGAUGGACAGAGGGAUGGUUGGAUGAGUGACAUGAGCCUGAGUUUAAGAGGUUGACUAUUUCUUCACCCUGUCCUCUCUCUUAGCCUGUGAAGGCUUGCUGGUAAAUUGCUAAAUCUGGCAGAGAAUGAGGAAAGGAAGAUCUCUUUCCCUGGCUAUCAAUUGUUUGAGUGUUUCACUUAAAGUUGAGCACCUGUUCUAUUGAAGUGCCCACCUCUGUUCCUCUCCAUUUCUUUGAACCCUAUCACUGGUCCUUGGGAAGGGUAAAUGCAAAAGAAAAAAAAAGUGAAAGCAGUGUUAAUCAUGCUGAAAUGUAAUGCGCCCCUCUGAACCUUGGAAGAUGAGAAAUUAUACAUGCUGAUUUCAUCCGCUACUUAACUCAGGGGGUGACAGGCUGCAAUUGAAGAGGCUUUGGCAGGUUAAGUGCUGCAAACCCUUGCCCAGGCUCUUAAGCAUCUCUCGGAAACCUCUGAGACUCGUUGGUAAUUUGGUGGUGUCAUUUGGAGUGACUCCUGGCCCUGCCAGCUGCAGGGACAGUUCCCAGUUAAAAAAAAAAUGAUUUCAUUCUCAGCUAGGAUGUGGUCUGUUCUUUUUUUGUCUGGGGACCGGAGACUGUUAAGGGAAAAGAGAGUGGGGAGGAGAUUCUGCAAAGAAAUAAAAGCAGACAAGAAUGGGCUUGUGUACAUUGCAACCACCAAAGCCCCCUCAACAAAGCUUCAUCAUUACUGGAAUCAGGAAAGAAAAGGGAGAAAACUAACAUUUAUUUGACAUUUACUGUGUACCAAGUACCUGUCAUUCCUGAACGUAUUGACUCCACACAUCUCCGCGAGACAGCUGUUGUUAUGUGGAGAAAUUAGGCUAAUUAAUUUGCCCACUACGAUGAUGACAACAAUGAUGACGAUGGUGAUAAAAGCUUAUAUUUAUAUGGCAGAGACUAUUAUAAACUCCUUAUCUGCAUUAUUCACUCCUCACAAUAACCCUGUGGGGUAACUGCCCUGCUUUUCUUUACCCAUUGCCCCUAUUCUCACCCUCCCCCCUUCGACCUCAGCACUUCCCAGCAGACUUGUUCUAUUAAUUUUUAUGAGACUUUUAUGCUUUUGUUUUGUUUUACUUUUAUUGGAAAAUUUCAAGCUUAUGCAAAACUAGAAGUGACUGUAAUAACCUCCUCAUGUAUUCACCACCCAGCUUCAACAAUGAUCAAUAUCUGGUCAUUGGAUUAUUUUGAGUCAAAUUCCAAGACAUCCUAUUAUUUCCUCUGUAAAUACUUUAGUGUGUAUCUCAAAAAAAGAUUUCCC